This 83-nucleotide ribosomal RNA is filed under the name Syringa reticulata subsp. amurensis. Its description in RNAcentral is "partial 5.8S ribosomal RNA". It matches the Rfam family "5.8S ribosomal RNA", at positions 73 to 153 of the family's 154-position model. From Rfam's summary of the family: 5.8S ribosomal RNA (5.8S rRNA) is a component of the large subunit of the eukaryotic ribosome. It is transcribed by RNA polymerase I as part of the 45S precursor that also contains 18S and 28S rRNA. Lineage: Eukaryota; Viridiplantae; Streptophyta; Magnoliopsida; Lamiales; Oleaceae. The record is from RNAcentral.
UGCAGAAUCCCGUGAACCAUCGAGUUUUUGAACGCAAGUUGCGCCCGAAGCCAUUAUGCUGAGGGCACGUCUGCCUGGGCGUC